AGUGGCCUAGCCUGGACCGCAAGGCCGAAGCCGCCUCCGGGCCGCGUCCCGGUGUUUCGGGUUGUGUAACCUUGGCCAAAAUGCUUAAGCUUUUUCCCUGGCUGCCAAAUGGGGCCGAUCGUCUGACCUGCUGCCUCCGGAACUUGAGGGAUCAGAUCAAAUAACCCUUUCCUGGCACUCGUCUGCCGCUGUGAAUGAAUCACGGGCUCCUGUAAUCACCGUUAGGAGAGAUUGUUAAACUCGUACAGGGUUGGAUGUUUUAAAGUUACUGAAUACUUACUGGACCCCUACUAUUCAAUCAAGACAUGCUAAGUUAGCUUGCCAUUCUUGUUCAUUUAUGUGUUUACUUAACUAUUUCUGGGUCUCCUCUUCCCAGUCAUAAAUACCUCUUGGAGUGUAAGCUCCUCGGAGCAGAGAUCCUGUUUCCAUAUUUCCUGUACCUAGAACAGUGCCAGAUCCGUAGUAGACACUGAAACAAAAAAUCUUUAAAAAAAAAAUAUAUACGAAUGUGGCACCACCAUUUACACAGGCCACUAAGCCAAAAAUCUCGAACUUGUCAGAUUGUCUCUUCUCAGCCAUCAGCAGUCAACAAGUUCUAGCAUUUGGUCUCUUAAAAGUGGUUCAAGAGUUUAUUUUUCCUCUCCUUCCUCUGCCAGUACCAACCAGUCUUCCGUAUCACUAUGUAUUGCAAGAGUCUCACAAGAAGAUAUCCAUCACUGACUGAUCUUCCUCCCGUUUAACAUCCCCAACAGGUGCCAGGGUGAUGUUUUCUUUAUUCUAAAAAGAAACCAGAUUAUAUCGCUCACUCCCUUGCUUAAAACAGUUCUUCAAUGUUAGGUAAAUAAAUCAUGGAGUCACCACGAAGGCUUUCAUCUGCCAGGCACUAUUCUGAACGAUAUUGGCUCAUUUAAUUCUCACAGAAACCCUAUGCAGCAGAUACGGUGAAAAUGUUCCUGUUACAGAUGAGGUAACUGCAGCACAGAGAGCUUGAGUGGCUUGCUGAAACACCAGACCCACUCAGUCUGGCUCCAUAAUAGGUCUUUUUGCUGGUAAUGAUUUACCAACUAUACAGCCACUUCAAAAAAAGGAAAUAGGGCCCUCGUGACUGGACCUCAUGCCAAACAACUCGUUACAAAAAGAGCUAGGGUUCCAGACUGCGCCGAAGCUUCAUGAGACCUCUCCUUGUCUGCAUGGACGAGUGGCCGACUCUGGAGCCCAGGCUGUUGCUUCCCAGUCUGGUGGUGAAUCCUCCAUAGUCUGGUGAGUGUAAAUACAUAUAUAUAUCUUUUCCCUUCUCCCUUCCCGUUGCAAUUUGCUUAUUAUAUCAUUUGCUUAUUGUAUCAUUUGCUUAUAUCUGCACUGCCAUUUGGGAUAAAGCUUGUUUACCCUUAAAGGUAUUGUGUGUGUGUCUCCUCCCCGCGCG
RNAcentral lists this long non-coding RNA (1423 nucleotides) under Pan troglodytes (chimpanzee). RNAcentral describes it as "long non-coding RNA NONPTRT001853". Lineage: Eukaryota; Metazoa; Chordata; Mammalia; Primates; Hominidae. The record is from RNAcentral.